Molecule: unclassified non-coding RNA, 254 nt
Filed under: uncultured Gemmatimonadota bacterium
Lineage: Bacteria; Pseudomonadati; Gemmatimonadota
Description: uncultured Gemmatimonadetes bacterium contains 16S-23S intergenic spacer region
Rfam family: Bacterial small subunit ribosomal RNA
Source: RNAcentral
UACGGAAGGGGCAAGCGUUGUUCGGAAUCAUUGGGCGUAAAGCGCGCGCAGGCGGACGCCGCAAGUCGGGAGUGAAAGACCGGGGCUCAACCCCGGGCAUGCUUCCGAUACUGCGGGUCUAGGGACCGGUAGAGGCCGGUGGAAUUCCCGGUGUAGCGGUGGAAUGCGUAGAUAUCGGGAAGAACACCCGUGGCGAAGGCGGCUGGCUGGGCCGGAUCCGACGCUGAGGCGCGAAAGCGUGGGGAGCAAACAGG